AGUAAAUAGAUACCCUGGUAGUCCACGCCCUAAACGUUCUCAACUAGCUUUAGGGGGAAUCGAACCCUUCUGAGGCGAAAGCUAAACGCGUUAAAGUUGAGCGCCUGGGUAGUACGGCCGCAAGGCUAAAACUCAAAGGAAUAGACGGGGUACUUGCACAAGCAGUGGAUUAUGCGGUUUAAUUCGAUGACAAACGAAAAACCUUACCAAGGUUAGAAUCUACGUGAAGACGAGCAGAAACCGUUCGUCGUCCGCAAGGACUAGUAGACAGGUGAUGCAUGGCCGUCGUCAGUUCGUGAUUUGAAAUUGUUCCCUUAAGU
RNAcentral lists this ribosomal RNA (320 nucleotides) under uncultured bacterium. RNAcentral describes it as "bacterial SSU rRNA". It matches the Rfam family "Bacterial small subunit ribosomal RNA", at positions 774 to 1085 of the family's 1533-position model. The record is from RNAcentral.